UGGGGAAUAUUGCACAAUGGGCGCAAGCCUGAUGCAGCCAUGCCGCGUGUAUGAAGAAGGCCUUCGGGUUGUAAAGUACUUUCAGCGGGGAGGAAGGCGUUGUGGUUAAUAACCACAGCGAUUGACGUUACCCGCAGAAGAAGCACCGGCUAACUCCGUGCCAGCAGCCGCGGUAAUACGGAGGGUGCAAGCGUUAAUCGGAAUUACUGGGCGUAAA
This 217-nucleotide ribosomal RNA is filed under the name Enterobacter hormaechei. RNAcentral's name for it is "partial 16S ribosomal RNA". It matches the Rfam family "Bacterial small subunit ribosomal RNA", at positions 355 to 564 of the family's 1533-position model. The record is from RNAcentral. Lineage: Bacteria; Pseudomonadati; Pseudomonadota; Gammaproteobacteria; Enterobacterales; Enterobacteriaceae.